Molecule: ribosomal RNA, 440 nt
Filed under: uncultured bacterium
Lineage: Bacteria
Description: partial 16S ribosomal RNA
Rfam family: Bacterial small subunit ribosomal RNA
Source: RNAcentral
ACUACGGGUGGCAGCAGUGAGGGAUAUUGGUCCAUGGGGGAAACCCUGAACCAGCAACGCCGCGUGAGGGAAGACGGUUUUCGGAUUGUAAACCUCUGUCCUCUGUGAAGAUAAUGACGGUAGCAGAGGAGGAAGCUCCGGCUAACUACGUGCCAGCAGCCGCGGUAAUACGAAGGGAGCGAGCGUUGACCGGAUUUACUGGGUGUAAAGGGUGCGUAGGCGGCCCUGCAAGUCAGAAGUGAAAUCCAUGGGCUUAACCCGUGAACUGCUUGUGAAACUGCAGGAAGUGAGUGGAGUAGAGGUAGGCGGAAUUCCAGGGGUAGCGGGGAAAUGCGUAGAGAUCGGGAGGAACACCAGUGGCGAAGGCGGCCUACUGGGCUUUAACUGCCGCUGAAGCACGAAAGCGUGGGUAGCAAACAGGAUUAGAUACCCGGGUAGUC